AUUGAACGCUGGCGGCAGGCCUAACACAUGCAAGUCGAGCGGAUGAAGGGAGCUUGCUCCUGGAUUCAGCGGCGGACGGGUGAGUAAUGCCUAGGAAUCUGCCUGGUAGUGGGGGAUAACGUCCGGAAACGGGCGCUAAUACCGCAUACGUCCUGAGGGAGAAAGUGGGGGAUCUUCGGACCUCACGCUAUCAGAUGAGCCUAGGUCGGAUUAGCUAGUUGGUGGGGUAAAGGCCUACCAAGGCGACGAUCCGUAACUGGUCUGAGAGGAUGAUCAGUCACACUGGAACUGAGACACGGUCCAGACUCCUACGGGAGGCAGCAGUGGGGAAUAUUGGACAGUGGGCGAAAGCCUGAUCCAGCCAUGCCGCGUGUGUGAAGAAGGUCUUCGGAUUGUAAGGCACUUUAAGUUGGGAGGAAGGGCAGUAAGUUAAUACCUUGCUGUUUUGACGUUACCAACAGAAUAAGCACCGGCUAACUUCGUG
RNAcentral lists this ribosomal RNA (484 nucleotides) under uncultured bacterium. RNAcentral's name for it is "partial 16S ribosomal RNA". It matches the Rfam family "Bacterial small subunit ribosomal RNA", at positions 30 to 507 of the family's 1533-position model. The record is from RNAcentral.